UGAACGCUGGCGGCGUGCUUAACACAUGCAAGUCGCACGAGAACGCUUUAGCUUGCUAAAGCUAGUAAAGUGGCGCACGGGUGAGUAACGCGUGGGUAAUCUACCCCUGAAUUUGGGAUAACAUUGCGAAAGCGAUGCUAAUACCGGAUAAUAUCAUAAUAAUUGCGGUUAUUAUGAUCAAAGGUGGCCUCUAUAUAUAAGCUACUGUUUGGGGAUGAGCCCGCGUACCAUUAGCUUGUUGGUAGGGUAAUGGCCUACCAAGGCAACGAUGGUUAGCUGGUCUGAGAGGAUGAUCAGCCACACUGGAACUGACACACGGUCCAGACUCCUACGGGAGGCAGCAGUGAGGAAUUUUGCGCAAUGGGGGAAACCCUGACGCAGCAACGCCGCGUGAGUGAUGAAGGCUUUUGGGUCGUAAAGCUCUGUCAAGUGGGAAGAACCUACUUUAGGCCAAUACCCUAAAGUACUGACGGUACCACUGAAGGAAGCACCGGCUAACUCC
RNAcentral lists this ribosomal RNA (502 nucleotides) under uncultured bacterium. RNAcentral describes it as "bacterial SSU rRNA". It matches the Rfam family "Bacterial small subunit ribosomal RNA", at positions 30 to 504 of the family's 1533-position model. The record is from RNAcentral.